Molecule: ribosomal RNA, 470 nt
Filed under: uncultured organism
Description: partial 16S ribosomal RNA
Rfam family: Bacterial small subunit ribosomal RNA
Source: RNAcentral
CGUACACUCCUACGGGAGGCAGCAGUGAGGAAUAUUGGACAAUGGGUGGAAGCCUGAUCCAGCCAUCCCGCGUGCAGGAAGACGGCCCUAUGGGUUGUAAACUGCUUUUAUCUGGGGAUAAACCUACUUACGUGUAAGUAGCUGAAGGUACCAGAAGAAUAAGCACCGGCUAACUCCGUGCCAGCAGCCGCGGUAAUACGGAGGGUGCAAGCGUUAUCCGGAUUUAUUGGGUUUAAAGGGUCCGUAGGCGGACUGAUAAGUCAGUGGUGAAAUCCGACAGCUUAACUGUCGAACUGCCAUUGAUACUGUUAGUCUUGAGUAAGGUUGAAGUGGCUGGAAUAAGUAGUGUAGCGGUGAAAUGCAUAGAUAUUACUUAGAACACCAAUUGCGAAGGCAGGUCACUAAGUCUUAACUGACGCUGAUGGACGAAAGCGUGGGGAGCGAACAGGAUUAGAAACCCUUGUAGUCCC